UUUGGGACUUGAAUCAGUCUCCCAAAGGAGCAUCAGAGCAGAUUUUGAUGCUGGCACCAGCCUUUGACUUCUGCUUGGCUGACCCCAUCUCUUGGAUCCCUGCUUGACUGACAGCCCAAUUCUGUCGAGCCCUUCUCUAUAAUGGUCAUUACAAACAACCCUGAAGUGGCUGGAAUAUAGUCAGCAAGGGGCCCACAUGAACAGCUCAUCUGGAAUCUUUGCAAAACUGUGCCGACUUCUCUGGUGGCUACGGCUGCGGCUACGGCUGCUGGAGCGGGACCUGUGGCGAUGACGUUUCUCCCGAGAUUUGGAUCGAGUUCUCCUCUUGCGUUCACGUGACAUGGAGCGAGAUCGAUGUCUGCGAUGCUCUCUGGACCUGGAUCUACCAGACAAGAUUUGAUUUUGUUUUUACUUUUGUAAUUACUACAUUUCCAUUUAUUAAAGCCUUUUCUUUCUUUAAAGAGAAACUUUCAGUAGUCUUAAUGUCAAUUAUAUUCCAAGUCAGCUAAAUCUACACUAAAUUGCUGGUGUGUUAAUAACUACAUACUAGAAUUCAAAAUAAAUCAAUAAGUCUCAGCCAGGAGCCAUGGCUCACACCUGUAAUCCCAACACUU
Long non-coding RNA from Nomascus leucogenys (northern white-cheeked gibbon), 614 nucleotides. RefSeq lists it as uncharacterized. NCBI's taxonomy places the organism in Eukaryota, Metazoa, Chordata, Mammalia, Primates, Hylobatidae. The transcript has 3 exons. The record is from RefSeq and is a predicted model, not a curated record.